This 335-nucleotide long non-coding RNA is filed under the name Manihot esculenta (cassava). Its description in RNAcentral is "long non-coding RNA (MESC_LNC006769)". The record is from RNAcentral. Lineage: Eukaryota; Viridiplantae; Streptophyta; Magnoliopsida; Malpighiales; Euphorbiaceae.
UACUCUGACUAUGCUCUCUCUGCAGGUGCCAUCCUAUAGGGUAGAAGGAAAGAAAUAGGUCCGCGUCCAGACACCAUUUCUAUUCCACACUCUGACUCCCUGACAGAUGGUAAACCUGACAGCUUGUCUGGGUACAAACAUCUAGAACUCAUUCACAACGGGCAUGGAGACUGAUUCCUUGACCUGACUACUAUACAUGCGCACAAGAGCUAGAACCCUUUGACAACCUUUCCUGUGUAAACGAUGAGCCUAAUGGGCUGACAUUAACUUCUAGGCACCCCUAUACUGUCCCUCUAACGGACUGCCUCAGAUCCAUCUUAGCCUCUGAACUCUGA